Molecule: long non-coding RNA, 762 nt
Filed under: Anolis carolinensis (green anole)
Lineage: Eukaryota; Metazoa; Chordata; Lepidosauria; Squamata; Anolidae
Description: lncRNA (ENSACAG00000030675.2)
Source: RNAcentral
AUGUCCAUUCAGUUGCCAAAAUUAACUAGAUUUGGCCAUAGGAUAUCCAUAGAGACAUUUCGCAUCAUGAAGCUGGGCCUGUUCUUGUGUUUUGUUGGCUGUUUGGGAUUAGGCUGGGCAGUUCCAGUGGAAAACCUCGAAAAAAUCAAACUGGACUUCUUUCCUAACAACAGCAUGCUUUUGACAAGCUUCAUGAGUACCUACUUCAUUGUGAACGUUCCAAAAUGUGUUAGUCCCAAAGAUUUUUCUCCUGUCAAAAUCAGAUUAGCAGUGGCUCAAGUUCCAGACACAAGCACUUUACCAGGUGUGAUAGAUACCGAUGACAUUGCAAAUCUCCGCAGAACACCACAAGCGACUAUAUAUUUUGCUGGUGAAUUUGAUAGUGUCUCCUGUAGAGUAACCAGAGAUCUUCUUGUAAUGGACAUGGAUGACAGCCAAUUUGAGCUGAUCACAGUUUUAGGCUACCAGGUGGGAGCAGAAUUUUGCCGUCAAACUAAAGGCCCCUACUGCAAUCAAGCCCUAAAGCCCUCCACAUAUUAUAGGGUGAAUUUCUUUUUUCUGGAUAACAAAUCUGUAAUAAGAGCUCAUACGGAUUGGUCAACAGCACUACAAACGAGAAACGUGUCAGAUCAUGAAUCUGCUGACGUGAUGUUCGGAGGACGAGCUGGAGGAAUGAUCGUAAUCACCAUUCUGGUUUCAGUUGGUGGGGCUGUCCUAGCAAUUGCCUUAAUUGUAGCAGUAGCUCUUUCAAAUAAAAAAUAA